AGUGAACGCUGGCGGUAGGCCUAACACAUGCAAGUCGAACGGCAGCACAGUAAGAGCUUGCUCUUACGGGUGGCGAGUGGCGGACGGGUGAGGAAUACAUCGGAAUCUACUUUUUCGUGGGGGAUAACGCAGGGAAACUUACGCUAAUACCGCAUACGACCUACGGGUGAAAGCAGGGGAUCUUCGGACCUUGCGCGAUUGAAUGAGCCGAUGUCGGAUUAGCUAGUUGGCGGGGUAAAGGCCCACCAAGGCGACGAUCCGUAGCUGGUCUGAGAGGAUGAUCAGCCACACUGGAACUGAGACACGGUCCAGACUCCUACGGGAGGCAGCAGUGGGGAAUAUUGGACAAUGGGCGCAAGCCUGAUCCAGCCAUACCGCGUGGGUGAAGAAGGCCUUCGGGUUGUAAAGCCCUUUUGUUGGGAAAGAAAAGCAGCAGGUUAAUACCCCGCUGUUCUGACGGUACCCAAAGAAUAAGCACCGGCUAACUUCGUA
This 492-nucleotide ribosomal RNA is filed under the name uncultured bacterium. RNAcentral's name for it is "partial 16S ribosomal RNA". It matches the Rfam family "Bacterial small subunit ribosomal RNA", at positions 29 to 507 of the family's 1533-position model. The record is from RNAcentral.